UACGGAGGGUGCAAGCGUUAUCCGGAUUCACUGGGUUUAAAGGGUGUGUAGGCGGGUUAUUAAGUCAGUGGUGAAAUCUCCGGGCUCAACCCGGAAACUGCCAUUGAUACUAUUAGCCUUGAAUUCUGUUGAGGUGGGCGGAAUAUGUCAUGGUAGCGGUGAAAUGCAUAGAUAUGACAUAGAACACCAAUUGCGAAGGCAGCUCACUAAACAGC
This 215-nucleotide ribosomal RNA is filed under the name uncultured bacterium. Its description in RNAcentral is "partial 16S ribosomal RNA". It matches the Rfam family "Bacterial small subunit ribosomal RNA", at positions 524 to 737 of the family's 1533-position model. The record is from RNAcentral.